RNAcentral lists this transfer RNA (74 nucleotides) under Winogradskyella litorisediminis. RNAcentral's name for it is "tRNA-Arg". It matches the Rfam family "tRNA". Rfam says of the family: Transfer RNA (tRNA) molecules are approximately 80 nucleotides in length. Their secondary structure includes four short double-helical elements and three loops (D, anti-codon, and T loops). Further hydrogen bonds mediate the characteristic L-shaped molecular structure. tRNAs have two regions of fundamental functional importance: the anti-codon, which is responsible for specific mRNA codon recognition, and the 3' end, to which the tRNAs corresponding amino acid is attached (by aminoacyl-tRNA synthetases). tRNAs cope with the degeneracy of the genetic code in two manners: having more than one tRNA (with a specific anti-codon) for a particular amino acid; and 'wobble' base-pairing, i.e. permitting non-standard base-pairing at the 3rd anti-codon position. RNAcentral also lists the same sequence under 1 other name. The record is from RNAcentral. Lineage: Bacteria; Pseudomonadati; Bacteroidota; Flavobacteriia; Flavobacteriales; Flavobacteriaceae.
GGCCAUGUGGCGCAACUGAAUAGCGCACUUGAUUACGGCUCAAGAGGUUCCAGGUUUGAAUCCUGGCAUGGUCA